GCCCAGGUGGUGGAAUAGGCAGACACGCCGUCUUGAGGGGGCGGUGCCGCAAGGCGUAUGAGUUCAAAUCUCAUCCUGGGCACCA
Molecule: transfer RNA, 85 nt
Filed under: Pseudomonadota bacterium
Lineage: Bacteria; Pseudomonadati; Pseudomonadota
Also listed under: 1 other name
Description: tRNA-Leu
Rfam family: tRNA
About the family: Transfer RNA (tRNA) molecules are approximately 80 nucleotides in length. Their secondary structure includes four short double-helical elements and three loops (D, anti-codon, and T loops).
Source: RNAcentral